RNAcentral lists this ribosomal RNA (1757 nucleotides) under Salmonella enterica. RNAcentral describes it as "partial 23S ribosomal RNA". It matches the Rfam family "Bacterial large subunit ribosomal RNA", at positions 1203 to 2925 of the family's 2925-position model. Lineage: Bacteria; Pseudomonadati; Pseudomonadota; Gammaproteobacteria; Enterobacterales; Enterobacteriaceae. The record is from RNAcentral.
CGGCAGCGACACUGUGUGUUGUUGGGUAGGGGAGCGUUCUGUAAGCCUGUGAAGGUGUGUCGUGAGGCAUGCUGGAGGUAUCAGAAGUGCGAAUGCUGACAUAAGUAACGAUAAAGCGGGUGAAAAGCCCGCUCGCCGGAAGACCAAGGGUUCCUGUCCAACGUUAAUCGGGGCAGGGUGAGUCGACCCCUAAGGCGAGGCCGAAAGGCGUAGUCGAUGGGAAACGGGUUAAUAUUCCCGUACUUGGUGUUACUGCGAAGGGGGGACGGAGAAGGCUAUGUUGGCCGGGCGACGGUUGUCCCGGUUUAAGCGUGUAGGUGUGUGUUCCAGGUAAAUCCGGUUCACUUUAACACUGAGGCGUGACGACGAGGCACUACGGUGCUGAAGCAACAAAUGCCCUGCUUCCAGGAAAAGCCUCUAAGCAUCAGGUAACAUCAAAUCGUACCCCAAACCGACACAGGUGGUCAGGUAGAGAAUACCAAGGCGCUUGAGAGAACUCGGGUGAAGGAACUAGGCAAAAUGGUGCCGUAACUUCGGGAGAAGGCACGCUGACACGUAGGUGAAGUGAUUUACUCAUGGAGCUGAAGUCAGUCGAAGAUACCAGCUGGCUGCAACUGUUUAUUAAAAACACAGCACUGUGCAAACACGAAAGUGGACGUAUACGGUGUGACGCCUGCCCGGUGCCGGAAGGUUAAUUGAUGGGGUCAGCGCAAGCGAAGCUCCUGAUCGAAGCCCCGGUAAACGGCGGCCGUAACUAUAACGGUCCUAAGGUAGCGAAAUUCCUUGUCGGGUAAGUUCCGACCUGCACGAAUGGCGUAAUGAUGGCCAGGCUGUCUCCACCCGAGACUCAGUGAAAUUGAACUCGCUGUGAAGAUGCAGUGUACCCGCGGCAAGACGGAAAGACCCCGUGAACCUUUACUAUAGCUUGACACUGAACAUUGAGCCUUGAUGUGUAGGAUAGGUGGGAGGCUUUGAAGCGUGGACGCCAGUCUGCAUGGAGCCGACCUUGAAAUACCACCCUUUAAUGUUUGAUGUUCUAACGUGGACCCGUGAUCCGGGUUGCGGACAGUGUCUGGUGGGUAGUUUGACUGGGGCGGUCUCCUCCUAAAGAGUAACGGAGGAGCACGAAGGUUGGCUAAUCCUGGUCGGACAUCAGGAGGUUAGUGCAAUGGCAUAAGCCAGCUUGACUGCGAGCGUGACGGCGCGAGCAGGUGCGAAAGCAGGUCAUAGUGAUCCGGUGGUUCUGAAUGGAAGGGCCAUCGCUCAACGGAUAAAAGGUACUCCGGGGAUAACAGGCUGAUACCGCCCAAGAGUUCAUAUCGACGGCGGUGUUUGGCACCUCGAUGUCGGCUCAUCACAUCCUGGGGCUGAAGUAGGUCCCAAGGGUAUGGCUGUUCGCCAUUUAAAGUGGUACGCGAGCUGGGUUUAGAACGUCGUGAGACAGUUCGGUCCCUAUCUGCCGUGGGCGCUGGAGAACUGAGGGGGGCUGCUCCUAGUACGAGAGGACCGGAGUGGACGCAUCACUGGUGUUCGGGUUGUCAUGCCAAUGGCACUGCCCGGUAGCUAAAUGCGGAAGAGAUAAGUGCUGAAAGCAUCUAAGCACGAAACUUGCCCCGAGAUGAGUUCUCCCUGAGACUUAGAGUCUCCUGAAGGAACGUUGAAGACGACGACGUUGAUAGGCCGGGUGUGUAAGCGCAGCGAUGCGUUGAGCUAACCGGUACUAAUGAACCGUGAGGCUUAACCUUACAACGCCGAAG